This 1063-nucleotide long non-coding RNA is filed under the name Papio anubis (olive baboon). RNAcentral describes it as "lncRNA (ENSPANG00000038767.1)". Lineage: Eukaryota; Metazoa; Chordata; Mammalia; Primates; Cercopithecidae. The record is from RNAcentral.
GUGAAAAUGAACAAUCAAUGGCUCUAUAGGCUCUAUACCAGUAAAUUUUAAUGGGAACAGAGGGAAAAUGCCUUUUAAAAAGUUUUGUGUUUUUUUAAGCUGUGACUUUUUAAUUUUUUUUUUUUCAGCAGAGCUUUAACCCAGGUUUUCAGAGAGUAAGAGCAUAUCCUCAAAUACCCUUCCACUUUCUCCUCUCCACUGUAAGACUCUUAUAUAAAUCUGCUGCAAAGGUGACCUACAAAGCUAUAACUUACUGAAAUGAGCCCUCAGAGUCUUGCUCAGGAUCUGGAGCUCACAAUGAAAGAUUAUUGAUGUUUUCAGCAGAAAAGCUGUCAAUUAGAUGUACAGUUUGCCAUAACAGCUCCAGGGUAUAAACCUGAAUUCCUCUGUGAAUUUACUGGAUCUAUUUUGCAGCCACAGGGCCAAGCACACAACUCGCCAUUUGCUUCAGGAGAUCCAGAUGUUCACCUUAUUUGGAUGUGUACCAGGAAUCGUAUUGCAUAGAGACAGAUCAGUAAGAAAGGAUGAAAAUAUACAAAGUCAUCUCAUCACAUGAGGGUUUGUUAUUUUCAUUCAACUUAAAUGUAUUUGAAUAUUGAUAAUUUGUUAUGAAAUUAUAGUUUGCAUUUACCUUACAUUUUUUGGUCCAAUUUAUCUGUAAGGAGGAUAAUUAAGAUAAAGGAUUCUCUGCUAAACUACAGAAGAUCACAUUAGUUUUAGAUGACGCUAGAGAUUGAGAAGCGAAGACAGAAGAAUGAGGAUGGUUAUGAAGAAGAGUCACGAAGAAAUAAGAGAAUAAAGUUAAUGGGGUUGGAGUGGAAGAGCUGUAGAGCACUUUCAUGCCAUGAAAAUAUUUUCACAUUUCACACUCUUCCCGGAUUCUGCAGUGACUAUGGAGGCAAGGCAUCACAAAAGGAAAGACGUCUCCAGAAAGACUGAUUUUGGAAAAUAUAGGCAUUCUGACUUGGAGAGAGUCUCCAAAGACAGUGUUCCAACUUAACCUGGAAAGGUGUGUAAAUGAGAAAUAAAAUUUUGUUGAGAUAAUGUUAUGGAGAUUGUGUGG